GGCAGGCUUAACACAUGCAAGUCGAGCGGUAACAUUUCUAGCUUGCUAGAAGAUGACGAGCGGCGGACGGGUGAGUAAUACUUAGGAAUCUACCUAGUAGUGGGGGAUAGCUCGGGGAAACUCGAAUUAAUACCGCAUACGACCUACGGGAGAAAGGGGGCAGUUUACUGCUCUCGCUAUUAGAUGAGCCUAAGUCGGAUUAGCUAGAUGGUGGGGUAAAGGCCUACCAUGGCGACGAUCUGUAGCUGGUCUGAGAGGAUGAUCAGCCACACCGGGACUGAGACACGGCCCGGACUCCUACGGGAGGCAGCAGUGGGGAAUAUUGGACAAUGGGGGAAACCCUGAUCCAGCCAUGCCGCGUGUGUGAAGAAGGCCUUUUGGUUGUAAAGCACUUUAAGCAGUGAAGAAGACUCCGUGGUUAAUACCCACGGACGAUGACAUUAGCUGCAGAAUAAGCACCGGCUAACUCUGUGCCAGCAGCCGCGGUAAUACAGAGGGUGCAAGCGUUAAUCGGAAUUACUGGGCGUAAAGGGAGCGUAGGUGGCUCGAUAAGUCAGAUGUGAAAUCCCCGGGCUCAACCUGGGAACUGCAUCUGAAACUGUUGAGCUAGAGUAUGUGAGAGGAAGGUAGAAUUCCAGGUGUAGCGGUGAAAUGCGUAGAGAUCUGGAGGAAUACCGAUGGCGAAGGCAGCCUUCUGGCAUAAUACUGACACUGAGGCUCGAAAGCGUGGGUAGCAAACAGGAUUAGAUACCCUGGUAGUCCACGCCGUAAACGAUGUCUACUAGUCGUUGGGUCCCUUGAGGACUUAGUGACGCAGCUAACGCAAUAAGUAGACCG
This 837-nucleotide ribosomal RNA is filed under the name uncultured Psychrobacter sp. Its description in RNAcentral is "bacterial SSU rRNA". It matches the Rfam family "Bacterial small subunit ribosomal RNA", at positions 41 to 871 of the family's 1533-position model. The record is from RNAcentral. Lineage: Bacteria; Pseudomonadati; Pseudomonadota; Gammaproteobacteria; Moraxellales; Moraxellaceae.